UCAGGCCAUCUGGAUGUAUAUGUGCAGGCUUGGGCUCAGAGGCCUGACACUCAGCAGCUACUACCACCAUUGGCACCACUGGCACCACUGCCACCACCCCACUGCACCCCAGUUGCUUCACUCUCCAUCACAGAAGCCUUUUCAGCAACAGCCAACAUUUGUACCCUCACCAAGCCCUCUGAUUUUCCCAAUCACAAGGCCUUCACUACAAUAUUUUCUUCAUUCACAAGUGUCACCUAUUCUCCAUCCCCAAGGCUUACUUCCUUCAACGCUGACCAUUCCUCCAGCAUUUCUUAUUCUAAAGAGGAACAGAUUCAGGUUGCAUCAGCUGUCCUCCUAUGUCCACAAUCCAAAUGCUAUGGGAUACUAUGGCAGACAAGUUUUCCAGUUCUUCAGGAAGUAGCAACUAGAAUCAAGGAAUUUGAGGACCAAAGCACCACAAACACAAGAGUAAGCACAGCAAAUAUGACAAGGGGACUGAAGUAAGCCCCUAUGGGAAUAGGAUCUGCUGAAGGAAUCAAGAGGGAUGGACAAAGGAACAGAAGACACUCAAGAAUAACUUCAGGAAGUCUCCUUACCGCCUCACCUGCUUUCCCUCUGUCCUACACAUCCAGCCUUGCAAAGAAAUAAGAGUAAAGAGAAAAGUCCAUGUAGCACCAUCCCAGUUCAGAAGCAACCCCCAAGAUAUGGGUCAACUUUAUCACCUCAAACUCUACUCAUUUAUAAUGACAAAAUUCAACUGUUAACACAUAGCAAAGACUCAAAAGAGAUUCUGCAUUUCAC
RNAcentral lists this long non-coding RNA (783 nucleotides) under Homo sapiens (human). RNAcentral's name for it is "HSALNT0283649". The record is from RNAcentral. Lineage: Eukaryota; Metazoa; Chordata; Mammalia; Primates; Hominidae.